Molecule: ribosomal RNA, 497 nt
Filed under: uncultured bacterium
Lineage: Bacteria
Description: partial 16S ribosomal RNA
Rfam family: Bacterial small subunit ribosomal RNA
Source: RNAcentral
GAUGAACGCUGGCGGCGUGCCUAAUACAUGCGAGUCGAGCGAACAGACGAGGAGCUUGCUCCUCUGACGUUAGCGGCGGACGGGUGAGUAACACGUGGAUAACCUACCUAUAAGACUGGGAUAACUUCGGGAAACCGGAGCUAAUACCGGAUAAUAUAUUGAACCGCAUGGUUCAAUAGUGAAAGACGGUUUUGCUGUCACUUAUAGAUGGAUCCGCGCCGCAUUAGCUAGUUGGUAAGGUAACGGCUUACCAAGGCAACGAUGCGUAGCCGACCUGAGAGGGUGAUCGGCCACACUGGAACUGAGACACGGUCCAGACUCCUACGGGAGGCAGCAGUAGGGAAUCUUCCGCAAUGGGCGAAAGCCUGACGGAGCAACGCCGCGUGAGUGAUGAAGGUCUUCGGAUCGUAAAACUCUGUUAUUAGGGAAGAACAAAUGUGUAAGUAACUAUGCACGUCUUGACGGUACCUAAUCAGAAAGCCACGGCUAGCUACGUG